This 446-nucleotide ribosomal RNA is filed under the name uncultured bacterium. RNAcentral's name for it is "partial 16S ribosomal RNA". It matches the Rfam family "Bacterial small subunit ribosomal RNA", at positions 338 to 795 of the family's 1533-position model. The record is from RNAcentral.
CCUACGGGUGGCAGCAGUCGAGAAUUAUUCACAAUGGGGGAAACCCUGAUGGUGCGACGCCGCGUGGGGGAAUGAAGGUCUUCGGAUUGUAAACUCCUGUCAUGUGGGAGCAAAUUAAAAAGAUAGUACCACAAGAGGAAGAGACGGCUAACUCUGUGCAAGUAGCCGCGGUAAUACAGAGGUCUCAAGCGUUGUUCGGAAUCACUGGGCGUAAAGGGUGCGUAGGCUGUUUCGUAAGUCGUGUGUGAAAGGCGCGGGCUCAACCGGCGGACGGCACAUGAUACUGGGAGACUAGAGUAAUGUAGAGGGAAGCGGAAUUCUCGGUGUAGCAGUGAAAUGCGUAGAUAUCGAGAGGAACACUCAUGGCGAAGGCAGGUUCCUGGACAUUAACUGACGCUGAGGCACGAAGGCCAGGGGAGCGAAAGGGAUUAGAUACCCUGGUAGUC